This 660-nucleotide ribosomal RNA is filed under the name uncultured Lactobacillus sp. RNAcentral describes it as "bacterial SSU rRNA". It matches the Rfam family "Bacterial small subunit ribosomal RNA", at positions 56 to 696 of the family's 1533-position model. Lineage: Bacteria; Bacillati; Bacillota; Bacilli; Lactobacillales; Lactobacillaceae. The record is from RNAcentral.
UUCCCGUUGAUUGACGUGCUUGCACUGAUUUCAACAUUGAAACGAGUGGCGAACUGGUGAGUAACACGUGGAAAACCUGCCCAGAAGCAGGGGAUAACACUUGGAAACAGGUGCUAAUACCGUAUAACAACAAAAACCGCAUGGUUUUUGUUUGGAAGGUGGCUUCGGCUAUCACUUCUGGAUGGUUCCGCGGCGCAUUAGCUUGUUGGUGGGGUAACGGCUCACCAAGGCGAUGAUGCGUAGCCGACCUGAGAGGGUAAUCGGCCACAUUGGGACUGAGACACGGCCCAGACUCCUACGGGAGGCAGCAGUAGGGAAUCUUCCACAAUGGACGCAAGUCUGAUGGAGCAAUGCCGCGUGAGUGAAGAAGGGUUUCGGCUCGUAAAACUCUGUUGUUGAAGAAGAACGGGUGUCAGAAUAACUGUUGACAUCGUGACGGUAUUCAACCAAAAAGCCACGGCUAACUACGUGCCAUCAGCCGCGGUAAUACGUAUGUGGCAAGCGUUGUCCGGAUUUAUUGGGCGUAAAGCGAGCGCAGGCGGUUUCUUAAGUCUGAUGUGAAAGCCUUCGGCUUAACCGACGAAGUGCAUCGGAGACUGGGGAACUUGAGUGCAGAAGAUGACAGUGGAACUCCAUGUGUAGCGGUGGAAUGCGUAGAUA